RNAcentral lists this ribosomal RNA (253 nucleotides) under uncultured bacterium. RNAcentral describes it as "partial 16S ribosomal RNA". It matches the Rfam family "Bacterial small subunit ribosomal RNA", at positions 524 to 776 of the family's 1533-position model. The record is from RNAcentral.
CACGUAGGCACCAAGCGUUGUCCGGAUUUAUUGGGCGUAAAGAGCGUGUAGGCGGCCAGGUAGGUCGGUUGUGAAAACUGGAGGCUCAACCUUCAGAGGUCGACCGAAACCAUCUGGCUAGAGUCCGGGAGAGGAGAGUGGAAUUCCUGGUGUAGCGGUGAAAUGCGCAGAUAUCAGGAAGAACACCCGUGGCGAAAGCGGCUCUCUGGAACGGUACUGACGCUGAGACGCGAAAGCGUGGGGAGCGAACAGG